GAUACCAGGGUCAAAAGGUCAAAAAGUCGUUCAUGCUUGCCAUGAUAAGGCUUUUGAACUUGGGACCCGCCAAACAUGAGAAAGUAGCGAUUUACGUAGUAAAUCAGCGGAUUUCGAAUGUUUGCAGAAUUGCGAGAGCUGCUUCGCAGCGGAGCAAUUCGUAGGCAUC
This 169-nucleotide small RNA is filed under the name human gut metagenome. Its description in RNAcentral is "Clostridiales-1 RNA". It matches the Rfam family "Clostridiales-1 RNA". The record is from RNAcentral.